This 247-nucleotide ribosomal RNA is filed under the name uncultured bacterium. RNAcentral describes it as "partial 16S ribosomal RNA". It matches the Rfam family "Bacterial small subunit ribosomal RNA", at positions 523 to 769 of the family's 1533-position model. The record is from RNAcentral.
AUACGGAGGGUGCAAGCGUUAUCCGGAUUCACUGGGUUUAAAGGGUGUGUAGGCGGGCAUUUAAGUCAGUGGUGAAAUCUCCGAGCUCAACUCGGAAACUGCCAUUGAUACUAUUUGUCUUGAAUAUCGUUGAGGUUGGCGGAAUAUAUCAUGUAGCGGUGAAAUGCUUAGAUAUGAUAUAGAACACCGAUUGCGAAGGCAGCUAACUAAGCGAUGAUUGACGCUGAGGCACGAAAGCGUGGGGAUC